ACUGUACGUUCCAAUCCGUUAACGUUAUUACCGAUGGAGGAUAGUUGUCGUUUUUUGAGCUACGAGUCGACUAAGUUUACUCCACAAUAUCACAUUUUUCGUUGACAAAAAUCGAGUGUUGUUUUAUCCAACGGAUCACCACACUACACACUGCAACCGGACCACGUGGAUUCUUCACAGUCCACGGCCAAGUCUGUCAACCACCAUGAGAUUAUUGUACGGGUUUUUAAUCAUCAUGCUAACUAUCCAUCUCAGCGUUCAAGAUAUCGAUCCAAACACUUUAAGAGGGCCAUACCCAACGAAAGAAAUUUGUAGUAAGUAUUGUGAAUACAAUGUAGUCUGCGGUGCCAGUUUACCCUGUAUAUGUGUUCAAGACGCAAGGCAGCUUGAUCAUUGGUUUGCUUGCUGCUAUGACGGAGGGCCAGAAAUGCUGAUGUGAUAAGUAUUGUAAUUUACUCUGCGGUGACGGUAUCCCCUGUUCGUAUUUACAAUACAAAUCGUUGAAUGUCCUGGGAUAUCCUCACUGUGGCAACUAACAAUUAUAAGUUACUGGGUAUGUGAGUUUGUAGGAAAAUUCAUUUGUAUUAACUAAUUUAUUGUAAUACAUAGUGACAGCUUAUUCUUAUCACAACGAUUGAAUUAUGUACCAAUGAAUACAUACAUUUGUAAGACAAUACAAAUAAUUAAAAAUAUUUUUUUCUUUUCUAUAAAAAUUGAUUGACGUUUACAGAUUUUAAAUUAUUCCUCUAACGCAUUUUUUAAGGAUUUUGAUUGCUUCAUAUCCUACUUAUUACCAAUUCAAUAUACGUUUUAACUGGUACUAGAUUCUUAGAAAUAUUUUAUAGACGAUUUCCUAUGCUUAUGCCGUCAACGAGUAGUAGUGCUAGUAGUAAAUAAUCAUUGUACAAAUGUGUUUCUAUCUCAUUAAAUAGUUAUUACCACAAUUCCUUUAUUCACUCAUUACAAUAUACUUAUACCUACAUUCUUUGUUUCCGAUGUAUACUAUUAAACCACUAUUUUAAACAUUUAUUCUAUAUUUCAAUAUUUUGUUGUAUAAUGAAUUUGUUUGUACUUAGUUCUUUAAUUGUUGAGUUAUAAUAGAUAAUAUUAUGUCCUAGAGCUGAUAAAAAAAACCAUGUAUUUACGUAAAAAAUAAUAAUGAAAUCUGUAAUUAGAAAAAUGUAUCUAAAACUAAUUAUGAUUGUACAAGUAUGUUAAACAAUAAAUGUAUGUAUUAUAUUAAAUUGACUAACACAAUAUAUUAUGAUAUGUUCUUACUACUUAAAUAUUUGUUCUUGUUGCUAUUGAGAAGCUGUAGUUAUUUUGUUUGAAUAAAUAUAAUUAUUUUGGUCAAAAAAAAAAAAAAAA
This 1368-nucleotide long non-coding RNA is filed under the name Acyrthosiphon pisum (pea aphid). RNAcentral describes it as "uncharacterized LOC100302494 (NV5)". The record is from RNAcentral. Lineage: Eukaryota; Metazoa; Arthropoda; Insecta; Hemiptera; Aphididae.